Molecule: long non-coding RNA, 123 nt
Organism: Bufo bufo (common toad)
Lineage: Eukaryota; Metazoa; Chordata; Amphibia; Anura; Bufonidae
Exons: 3
Source: RefSeq, a predicted model, not a curated record
UGCUGGGAGUUAUAAUAAAAGGUGAAGGCUGGCGGCCGGCGGCGGCUGCGCGGGCCACAUGACAAGGUCUGGCGGGCCGGAUUCGGCCCGCGGGCCUUGUGUUUGACACCCGUGGCCUAGACU